AGCUUUUCGAAUCCGUGCUGAGAUUUCGUCAGACACCAACCCAUUAAGGCUGAUCAGAUUUCCAAGAAAAGUGAAGUU
Molecule: microRNA precursor, 78 nt
Filed under: Schistosoma margrebowiei
Lineage: Eukaryota; Metazoa; Platyhelminthes; Trematoda; Strigeidida; Schistosomatidae
Description: mir-3492 microRNA precursor family
Rfam family: mir-3492 microRNA precursor family
Source: Rfam by way of RNAcentral